GAUGAACGCUGGCGGCGUGCCUAAUACAUGCAAGUCGAGCGAACAGAUGAGGAGCUUGCUCCUCUGACGUUAGCGGCGGACGGGUGAGUAACACGUGGAUAACCUACCUAUAAGACUGGGAUAACUUCGGGAAACCGGAGCUAAUACCGGAUAAUAUAUUGAACCGCAUGGUUCAAUAGUGAAAGACGGUUUUGCUGUCACUUAUAGAUGGAUCCGUGCCGCAUUAGCUAGUUGGUAAGGUAACGGCUUACCAAGGCAACGAUGCGUAGCCGACCUGAGAGGGUGAUCGGCCACACUGGAACUGAGACACGGUCCAGACUCCUACGGGAGGCAGCAGUAGGGAAUCUUCCGCAAUGGGCGAAAGCCUGACGGAGCAACGCCGCGUGAGUGAUGAAGGUCUUCGGAUCGUAAAACUCUGUUAUUAGGGAAGACCAAAUGUGUAAGUAACUAUGCACGUCUUGACGGUACCUAAUCAGAAAGCCACGGCUAACUACGUG
This 497-nucleotide ribosomal RNA is filed under the name uncultured bacterium. RNAcentral describes it as "partial 16S ribosomal RNA". It matches the Rfam family "Bacterial small subunit ribosomal RNA", at positions 28 to 507 of the family's 1533-position model. The record is from RNAcentral.